CUCCCUGGGCAACCUGUGUCCGUGCCUCACUGCCCUAACUUCUUAUAUCCAGUCUAAAUCUCUCCUCUUCUAGUUUUGAAACCAUUUCCUCUUGCCCUAAUGUUGGAAAUAUCCAAAUAAUUUAUCAGGACGGUAUCUCUGAUGAAAACGUUUUAUUCAGAAUUGCAGUGGCAGGCAUCCUGCAAACAGGAGUGCACACAGAAAACAGCGUUACAUCUUUAAUGCCCUAUUAUGCUAUACUUAUCUCUUCCUCCCCUGGUUCCUCAUUGUCUGAGUGCUUCAGAUUCACAAUCUUCCCAAUGCUCAGCUAAACAUACAGAUACUGGCUAAACAUAAAUUUUUGUAGCUAAGCAUACACUGCUAAUUAUUUAACUUCCAACAUUUGCUCACUCAGCACUCGGUCAUUAUUUCUGGACAUCUGCUUGUCCUUGGAUAGAGAUAAGUUUGGAAGGAGGAUAAAGGGGAGUAUCUUGGUCUUGAUUCCUGUCUGUUGCAUCCCAACCUACCCACAGAGUGAGGCAGUCUGGCCUUGUGUGGAGGCCCUGGCUUCUUUGAUGGUUGUCAAGUCUGGUUUUUUUCAGCUGAGGGUCUCUUUUCUAUACAGAAUAGCCUUACUAGUCCAUAAUACUAUACCCCUGUUAUUUGCAACAUUUAAACUAUUGCAGUUUUGCAAGGAAGAAUUAUCACAUAAUUGAGCUGCUGUAUUUCUAAAAUCUGCUGCUAAAACAUAUGGUAUUUUUACUUUUUCACAUCAGCUAUUUCUAAGCACAAGUUACAAAAUGCAAAUACAAAUACAUUGUGGUCUGCUUCUUCAGAUCAGUUCCCUCUUUAUGAUAUCUAAUGCAGGAACAACAUUACAUUCCUACACUACCACGACAGACCUGCUAAACUUCUUUAAACUCCCCUUCUUUCUUACAGCCGCCAUUUGGGUACUGAAAGUGCUGCUGUUGAGCAGGAUCAGACCUUAACUGGAUAUGCAACUCUGAAAGCUAUUUGUGUGCUGUGGCUAGUUUUCAAGUUCUGCCUCUUGGGGUCCUCUCUACAGAACUGCCUAAAUUAAAGUGUAGAAUAAACAUGUAGACUUUAAGGAGAAUCUCUGCUGGAAACCACCUGAUGUUUUAUUAACAAAUUGCCCCAUGCAUUUAAGUGAAUAAUAGAUGAGCGUAACUCUGGUGGGACACAAGAACCUGGUAGUGCAAUAUGAUUGCAAGGUGUCUGUAGUAUGAAGUCGUGAGUUGGGCAAAGCUGCCCUGACACUGUGCAGUUGUAGCAGUUCUGACAGGCAUGAAAACAGCCUCAGUACAAAACAGCCCAAAUCUGGAGUGAAGAUGACUGUGCUGUCAUGUCCUUUGUGAAGGGAGUCCUUCCCUAAGAGGAACUCUCCUGAGUCAAGAUCGGGUGGAGAAGAGAAAAUCAGUGCUUGCUUCUAGAUAACAAUCCCUUGUAGUCAUUGGCAGCCGUGUCAUGAGCAGUCCUACUCAGCUGUGUCCUGUCUGCAGCUGUGAGGGGCCUUGGGUGAGACACUGCUGAUCAGCACAGCACCAUCUGGCCAUGUGCCACAGUCGGGGCUAUGCUGCCUUGGAGCACAGGAAAACAGUGUGCUGCAGGGAGGAGGAGCGUGUCCUGUGUCCCUGCUGGCAAACCGAGGAGUUCUGAAGCAAGGUUGAAUCAUCAGUGUGAAGCAGCCUAGAAGAGCAUGUGAUGAUGGUGCUCAGGAUACCUUCCACUGGCAGGCUAAAGGCUGCUGGCAACGACUUCCAAAGAUUCAGGAACUGUGUUUGAAAGGCCAUGUUGUCCCCAGCUUGUGAGACCUCUUUCUAGACCAUGGCAGUGUAUGUGAGCGUGUCUUUCUGAGUACUUUGAUGCAAUCCUCCUGAAUUACAAGGUGGGCUUUAUUUGGUCAUGGUUCUGUAGUGAGAACACAGCUGUCUGCCUGCCCUUGGUUGCCUGCCUGUGAGGCUCAUCUUGCUUCCUUUCUAUGGGAAUUUCUUAUGAGACUUCAGGAGAAGCUCCUCCUCAGCCCAGAUAAAUGACAUGUAAUUCUUGGAUUAUGGCACCAGAUUAAUACAUAAAAAAGUUCUCACAGUUUUGUUCCACGGUGGAUCAAAGGCAGCUACACAAGAACAUGUCUACAUAAGCUGUGAAAAUUAUCACCUCAGAAAAUAGCAGAAUUUUGUUGUACUCAUGUGAUUUUCCAUGUUCUUCUCUCAACCGUGCAAAUGAAUCACAGCAUGCGUGGUGUAUAUAGGAGGACAUUGGUUUCUUAUUAUGAUUUAAACUCUAGUCUGCUUACUCAAUGACAAAUUGAAAACACAUGGCUUUAUUGUGUAGGGCUUUUUUUUUUUUUUUUUAAUGCAUUACAUGCUAGAGCUGUAGUGGCAGCUUCCAGGGACUUUCUGUCCAAACUUCAGCAUGCCUUCAAAAGGAAGCUGGGUAAGCUCUUUAUAAGAAAGCAAGCAGUCCUACAGUGAGCCUGCAGAACAGAGAUUUAUGAUCUUAUUUAACACUUUGUCUUCAUAGUGCUUUCUGAGUGUAACUUGUCCCCUGAGAUCAAAUUCCUUUAGGCAAGUAGAUUUGCUGAAUAGCGAGGUCUGGGAGGAGUGGGCCUAUUUGCAAACUCAGGCCAGCUAUGCUGUAAUAGGAAGAAUGAAAUGGAAGAAACAAAUUGGUGGGAAUAUUUAAGACUACUGGUGCAAAUGACAAUUUGCAGUGUCUACUUAAGUAAGUGAUACUUGUUUAGGAACUGGGCUACAUCUACAGAAAUGUAAGUGAAAGCUGCCCAAAGGUAAAGGUGAAUUUUUUUUAUGGUCCUCAAAUGAGAAAACUGUCAUGUCAAGUUAACCCAAAUGUUCAGGAUUUAGCCAGAAUGAAAUUGUAGCUAAGUGGAAUAUGUAGAAAAGCUUGUUUCACCAAAACCAAUUUAAAAUGGGAAUUUAUUUCUGACUUUUAAAAAAAAAUUAUCUUACCCAGCACAGAAAAAUGUGUUAUUUUCCCAAUUUCUAUACAUGAACUGGCCUGUCUUCCCUUGUUAGCCAGGGGAGAGGAGCAAGACUGGACAAGUGCGUGAGAGCCUGGGCAGUUUUGUGACAUCUCAGGCAUAAAGAGCUGUUUGGCACAGCUGUGGAACAGCUCAGCUUCCUGGACAACUUGGGACCUCUGGAGUCUGUUCUGAGGCUCUCCCAGGACAUCUUCCCUAUUCAGGCUUUUCCCUUCUGCAAGGGAAAUAGAAAUAGCAUAUUUUAGGCACAUGCUAGACUGCUUGCAGUCAAACCAGGAGGCAGAACUUGGCAAGAACCGUCCCAAGGCUGCUCUGGGCUUGCCACAGCACUCGUGGUUGAGGGCACAAAGCCACCUGUUGGGUUUUGCAGCAUCUCGUGGUCUGCUAACCGGCACCCAACUGCAGGUCCCACAGAAAUGCUGUCUGAUUUUUCCCCACAGCCUGGACAGGCCGCUAUCAGAAGGGCCCGCUGAGGCCAAGGCAUUGACAGUGGCUUUAUGCAACUGGGGAACAGCGCGCAGCCUAAUAAGGAACAUCAUUUCUUUCAUGAUGCACAUUAAUCUGCCCUGUUUUCCGUACAAAAAAUGCCUGCAACUCCUGCCAAGCAGCCUUGCCUCAUCUCCUCCUUUAAAAAUUCAUUCCCAGUUACAGCCACAACUACAGAUAACAAUUUACCAGGAAUAAACAAGACUCUGCAUUUUGGGUCAGCUCGGAUUGUUUCCUGGAGUCCCUCGUGACUCAUCAUCACUGUAAGGGUCAUCGUGAAACACACCCCUCUACUGAUGUGCUCUUGGUACAAUCCAAAGAGUUUCAGGUUAAGAAGCUGAGGGGAUCUUUGUCUGCAAGAGUCCGUUUGGAGUUUGAUGUGCCUCGGAGCAGGACCCAUGUCAGCUAGAUACCUCGAGGAAAGGGAGAUACAUCCUUAACCCAUACUAGGAAGGAAGAGGAAAGAAAUUGCUGUAGAAAAGAAGUGUUCCAUACAGAAAAGAUAUGUCUCCAUCAGUUCAACUCUUCAGAGAUCAGAAGUACCACGAGCUGAAAAGGCAAUGUAUCCAGCAGAGACAACUCUUCGAAGAUCCUGAAUUUCCAGCCUCAGAUGAGUCCCUUUUCUAUCAAAAAGCCCCACGAGGAAAAGUUGAAUGGAUGCGUCCAAAGGAUCUCUGUCAAGACCCUUAUCUGUUUGUGAAUGGAAUCAGCUCUCAUGACUUGCACCAAGGCAGCUUGGGGAACUGCUGGUUUGUGGCUGCAUGCUCCUGUUUGGCACUGAGGAAGACACUCUGGCAGCAGGUGAUUCCAGACUUUCAAGAACAAGAAUGGGACCCUAAAACACCAGAGAAAUAUGCUGGGAUUUUCCGUUUCCGUUUCUGGUGCUUUGGUAUAUGGACAGAGGUGGUUAUUGAUGAUCUGCUGCCAACAAUUGAUGGGACAUUGAUCUACUGCCAUUCCAAUGUGGAAAAUGAAUUCUGGAGCGCAUUAUUGGAGAAAGCUUAUGCAAAGUUGGCUGGAUCUUAUGAAGCCCUGGAUGGAGGCAGUGCUGCAGAUGCGAUAGUGGAUUUUACUGGAGCAGUGGCAGAAUCUAUUGAUUUGGUACAGGGAAAAUACAGCGAGACUAUUUCAGAGCAGAUGAAGCUGUUUGAAGAUUUGUUGAAAGUGCAUAAAAGAGGCGGGCUGAUCAGCUGUUUCAUCGCGACUUCUUCUGGAAGAGCCAAUGAGCUGGAGAGAAAGACGGGUCUCGUUGCUGGUCAUGCCUACUCAGUGACUGCAAUUCGGAAGCUGCAUCUUGGAGAAAGUCUGACAUUCUCUUUUAACGCAGAAAAGCUUUUCAUGGUCAGGCUGAGGAAUCCCUGGGGAAACAGAGAGUGGAAUGGUGCCUGGAGUGACAAUUCUGAAGAGUGGAAGAAAGUCAGCAAUGCGGAGCGUAAACGUCUGGGACUCAUUGUUGAGAAUGAUGGAGAGUUCUGGAUGACAUUUGAGGACUGGUGUAAGAAUUUCACUGAUGUGGACAUCUGCCGGAUUGUAAAUACCUCCUACUUCAGUAUCCACAAGACCUGGGAGACAAAAAUGAUGCAUGGGGCUUGGGCAAAGAGUUCAGAGCCCCUGCUAAAUCGCUGUGGCGGGUGCUUUGAUAACACAGAGACCUUUCUUCAGAAUCCCCAGUACAUCUUUGAUGUUAAGAAGACAGAAGACAAAGUGUUGAUCUCAUUACAACAGGAGGAUCGGCGCAGGAGCAAAAAAGUAGGGAAAGGAGACAACAUCAUAAUUGGUUUUGAAAUCCUCAAGGUAGAAGAUAACAGAAGGUAUCGACUACACAAGCUGACUGUGCAGGAGAGAGUAGCCACAUCUCCAUACAUCAAUACACGCAAUGUAUUCUUGAAGAAGAUCCUUAAGCAAGGCCGUUACAUCCUUAUCCCAACUACGUAUCUUCCUGGCAUCGCUACAAAGUUUAUCCUGAGACUCUUCACUGAUGUGCCAUCAAAGCUCAGAGAGCUGACAGCAGAUAAGCCUGAAAUGACAUGUUGGAGUCUUCUUUGUGGCUAUCCACGCAGAAUCACCCAAAUCAAAAUCCACUCUGCAGAAGGCUUACAGGAGCAAGAUGGAUCAGGUGGAGCAGAUCCCUAUGUGCUCAUCAAGUGUGAGAACCAAAAAGUGCGCUCCCCUGUACAACACAAUACUACCAGUGCGAUUUUCAACAAGCAAGUCAUUUUCUACAGGAAGAACAUCGACAGUCCCAUCAUUGUCCAGGUCUGGAACAGCAACAUCUUGUGUGACCAGUUCCUUGGACAGGCGCUGCUGGCAGCUUCACCCAGUGACCCCAGAGAACAGCAGACUCUGCAACUUCGAGGGAGAGGCAGCCAAGAAGCCGAGGAGGUGCCAGGUCACAUCACCGUCAAGGUUUUUUCCAGUGAUGACCUCGUAGAGCUAUGAAUACCAAAGCCCUGCAGAGCCAGACAGAGCUGUCACCUCGCAGCAGGAGGGCUUGUCUGUGCUUUCUGUGUGAAUGACUUAUAAACGAAAAAUCACUUCAGCGUCACCCCAGCAGCCCUCAGUCAGUUUCCGGGCGGGGGGAGAGAAAAACGCGCAGAUCCCCGCACUCCUCUGUUCCCCUCACAGCUGCUCCGCGCCGUUACCGCCCGCAGCUCCGUGUUGGGCGCGCGCGGCCGCAGGGCGGCGCCCGAGCCGCGCGCGGAUCGCUUCAGGCUGUGGUGAGGGGCUCCCGCGCGCCGCCAUUCCGCACCGUCCCCCGCAGGCGGCGCUGCGGCCGCCAUCUUACCUGGCGGCCUGGCACGUGGCGCUUGGGGACUUCAUGGCGUGCUUUGUGGGUGCGACUCAGGUGAGAACACGCGUGAAGAGCUCCUGGUCGUAUAUACGUAUGUGUGCUUAUGCAUUUAUAAAUGAUUAGUUUAUAGAGACAGUUAUGUAAGCUCUGUGUCUAUGUAGAUGUCUGUUAAUGUAGACAGCAGUGUUAUACAAGGAGCUGUAUACCUCUGUGUGCAAUAUUUGUUUUUAAAAGCUUAAAAAUAUAUCUACAUGUACACCUAUACACACGUAUAGUUAAAAAAAAUUGGAUGGCUAGUGAGUGUGUUAGUGAUGGAACAUUCACUAUCUCCCUAUAUACAUUAAAACCUAACUAUAUACAUUAAGCCCACUGUUUGUGUGUGUACGCACCAAUACAUCUAUAAAAUACAUGCUAGAACUCCAUAUAGAUGACUAGAGAGAGAAUUAUGUCUGUAUUUGUGUAUAUAUAUAUAUAUGUACCCCUAGACACAAAUACAUGUUAUGUCCUACAUAAUGUAGUUAGAGUGCAUUACAGUGUCUCCUUUGCAUGGCUGACAUAUGUAGGUAUACAUAGAUAAUACACAUAGUAUUAGGUUUUUGUCUCAGAUCUCAUCCUAUGUAUCUUUUACAUAUGUACCUACACACAGCUCUUUACGUAGAUACACGUAUACAUGAUGGAUUGAGGAUGUUAUGUAUGUGUAUGUAUGUAUAGUUGUGUAUGUAUACAUAGCUAUACACAUGCUUACACUAUAGUUAUCUGUUCAAGGGGCUUUGAAUGUUUGUAUAUACACACAUAUACAUAUAUAUAUAUUACAUACAAACACACAUGUGUAUAUGUGUGUGCAUAUACAUAUAUAUAUAGCCUUAAUUUGCACUGAGGGAGGUUCAUGUAUUAGGAAAAACAAUUUCUUGGAAAGAGUGGUGCUGCACUGGCACAGGCUGUGCAUGGAAGUCAGCAUCCCAGGAGAUGUUCAAGAAAAAGGUCAGCAUGGCACUGAGGGAUGUGGAUAGUGGGCACAUCAGGAUAGGCUGGCAGUGGGACUUGGUGAUCUGAGAGGUCUUUUACAGCCUGAAUGAUUCUUUGAUUCUGUAUGAGAAAGAGGACACUCUUCUGUCUAUGUAUGUGUGUUGUGUGCGUGUACAUAUAUAUACACAUAUAUAAAGUAUGUAUAAUAUAUAGUUUAUAUUAUAGAUCAUGCACAGUAAAUAUAUAUAAAUAGUGUGAUACGUAUUUAUAAAAGGGACUCUAUAUAUACUGUAUAUACGCAACGUAUAAGAUAAAUACUAUAUUACAUGUAGUUGGCUAGAGGGGGAGUAUUUUCCAGAGAGAGGGUGCUAUAUAUGGAUGCUAUAUAUGAUACAUUUAUGCAUAUAACUGUAGCAUAUGCUAGAUACCUUUAAAUAUAUUGGGUAUAUGUAGAAAUAUACUCUGUAUACAUCUGUGUAUACACACUUGCACAAACACAUUAUGUAUAUCUUUUUAGCAAUCUAUAUACAUUUAUGUUCUAAUUAUGUACACAAAAUACAGUGAUUUAUAGUUGUAUGUAUCUGUAUGUGUGUGUAUGUAUAUAUAUAUAAACAUACAUAUAGUGAUGGAAACUGGACUGCCACAAGUCCAUAGGGCUGGAUGAGAUUCACCCAGGAGUGCUGGGGGAACUGGUGGAGGUGAUAGCCGAGCUGCUCGCCAUUAUCUACCAGUGUUCCUUGUUGUCUGGUGAGGUCCCAGAAGGCUGGAGGCUUGCCAGUGUGACUCCCAUCUACAGGAAGGGUUGUAAGAGGAGGAACCAGGAAAUUACAGGCCUAUUAGCCUGACCUCAGUGCCAAGAAAGGUUAUGGAGCAGAUUGUCUUGAGGGAGAUCAUGCUGCAUGUGCGGGACAACCAAGGGGAUCGGGCCUAGCCAGCAUGGGUUCACCAAGGGCAGAUCCUGCUUGACCAACCUGAUCUCCUUCUAUAAUUUAGUGACCCGUCUGGUGGACGAGGGAAAGGCUGUUGAUGUAGUCUACCUAGACUUCAGCAAAGCCUUUGAUGCUGUCUCCCACAGUAUUC
Phasianus colchicus (ring-necked pheasant) is the source of this 8321-nucleotide non-coding RNA. The record is from RefSeq and is a predicted model, not a curated record. NCBI's taxonomy places the organism in Eukaryota, Metazoa, Chordata, Aves, Galliformes, Phasianidae.